AGUGAACGCUGGCGGUAGGCCUAACACAUGCAAGUCGAACGGCAGCACAGUAAGAGCUUGCUCUUACGGGUGGCGAGUGGCGGACGGGUGAGGAAUACAUCGGAAUCUACUUUUCGUGGGGGAUAACGGAGGGAAACUUACGCUAAUACCGCAUACGACCUACGGGUGAAAGGCGGGGAUCUUCGGACCUUGCGCGAUUGAAUGAGCCGAUGUCGGAUUAGCUAGUUGGCGGGGUAAAGGCCCACCAAGGCGACGAUCCGUAGCUGGUCUGAGAGGAUGAUCAGCCACACUGGAACUGAGACACGGUCCAGACUCCUACGGGAGGCAGCAGUGGGGAAUAUUGGACAAUGGGCGCAAGCCUGAUCCAGCCAUACCGCGUGGGUGAAGAAGGCCUUCGGGUUGUAAAGCCCUUUUGUUGGGAAAGAAAAGCAGCAGGUUAAUACCCCGCUGUUCUGACGGUACCCAAAGAAUAAGCACCGGCUAACUUCGUG
RNAcentral lists this ribosomal RNA (491 nucleotides) under uncultured bacterium. RNAcentral's name for it is "partial 16S ribosomal RNA". It matches the Rfam family "Bacterial small subunit ribosomal RNA", at positions 29 to 507 of the family's 1533-position model. The record is from RNAcentral.